This 446-nucleotide ribosomal RNA is filed under the name uncultured bacterium. Its description in RNAcentral is "partial 16S ribosomal RNA". It matches the Rfam family "Bacterial small subunit ribosomal RNA", at positions 338 to 795 of the family's 1533-position model. The record is from RNAcentral.
CCUACGGGUGGCAGCAGUCGAGAAUCAUUCACAAUGGGGGAAACCCUGAUGGUGCGACGCCGCGGGGGGGAAUGAAGGUCUUCGGAUUGUAAACCCCUGUCAUGUGGGAGCAAAUUAAAAAGAUAGUACCACAAGAGGAAGAGACGGCUAACUCUGUGCCAGCAGCCGCGGUAAUACAGAGGUCUCAAGCGUUGUUCGGAAUCACUGGGCGUAAGGCGUGCGUAGGCUGUUUCGUAAGUCGUGUGUGAAAGGCGCGGGCUCAACCCGCGGACGGCACAUGAUACUGCGAGACUAGAGUAAUGGAGGGGGAACCGGAAUGCUCGGUGUAGCAGUGAAAUGCGUAGAUAUCGAGAGGAACACUCGUGGCGAAGGCGGGUUCCUGGACAUUAACUGACGCUGAGGCACGAAGGCCAGGGGAGCGAAAGGGAUUAGAUACCCUUGUAGUC